This 481-nucleotide ribosomal RNA is filed under the name uncultured bacterium. Its description in RNAcentral is "partial 16S ribosomal RNA". It matches the Rfam family "Bacterial small subunit ribosomal RNA", at positions 30 to 507 of the family's 1533-position model. The record is from RNAcentral.
UUGCACGCUGGCGGCAUGCCUUACACCUGCAAGUCGAACGGUAACAGGUCUUCGGAUGCUGACGAGUGGCGAACGGGUGAGUAAUACAUCGGAACGUGCCCAGACGUGGGGGAUAACGAGGCGAAAGCUUUGCUAAUACCGCAUACGAUCUAAGGAUGAAAGCAGGGGACCGCAAGGCCUUGUGCGUUUGGAGCGGCCGAUGGCAGAUUAGGUAGUUGGUGGGAUAAAAGCUUACCAAGCCGACGAUCUGUAGCUGGUCUGAGAGGACGACCAGCCACACUGGGACUGAGACACGGCCCAGACUCCUACGGGAGGCAGCAGUGGGGAAUUUUGGACAAUGGGCGAAAGCCUGAUCCAGCAAUGCCGCGUGCAGGAUGAAGGCCUUCGGGUUGUAAACUGCUUUUGUACGGAACGAAAAGGCUCUGGCUAAUACCUGGGGCACAUGACGGUACCGUAAGAAUAAGCACCGGCUAACUACGUG